UGUAUUUAUUAGAUUAAAAACCAAUGCCCUUCGGGGCUCCUUGGUGAUUCAUAAUAACUUAACGAAUCGCAUGGCCUUGUGCCGGCGAUGGUUCAUUCAAAUUUCUGCCCUAUCAACUUUCGAUGGUAGUAUAUGGGACUACUAUGGUUUCAACGGGUAACGGGGAAUUAGGGUUCUAUUCCGGAGAGGGAGCCUGAGAAACGGCUACCACAUCCAAGGAAGGCAGCAGGCGCGCAAAUUACCCAAUCCCGACACGGGGAGGUAGUGACAAUAAAUACUGAGACAGGGCUCUUUUGGGUCUUGUAAUUGGAAUGAGUACAAUUUAAAUCCCUUAACGAGGAACAAUUGGAGGGCAAGUCUGGUGCCAGCAGCCGCGGUAAUACCAGCUCCAAUAGCGUAUAUUAAAGUUGUUGCAGUUAAAAAGCUCGUAGUUGAACCUUGGGCCUGGCUGGCCGGUCCGCCUCACCGCGUGCACUGGUCCGGCCGGGCCUUUCCUUCUGGAGAGCCCCAUGCCCUUCACUGUGGCGUGCGGGGGAACCAGG
RNAcentral lists this ribosomal RNA (542 nucleotides) under uncultured eukaryote. RNAcentral describes it as "SSU rRNA". It matches the Rfam family "Eukaryotic small subunit ribosomal RNA", at positions 202 to 746 of the family's 1831-position model. The record is from RNAcentral.